Molecule: ribosomal RNA, 466 nt
Filed under: uncultured bacterium
Lineage: Bacteria
Description: partial 16S ribosomal RNA
Rfam family: Bacterial small subunit ribosomal RNA
Source: RNAcentral
GAUGAACGCUGGCGGCGUGCUUAACACAUGCAAGUCGAACGGAAAGGCCCUGCUUGCAGGGUACUCGAGUUGCCAACGGGCGAGUAACUCGUGGGUGAUCUGCCCUCUACUUUGGGAUAAGCCUGGGAAACUGGGUCUAAUACCUAAUAUGACAUAUGUUUGGAUGCGAUUGUGGAAAGCUUUUGCGGUAUAGGAUGAGCUCGCGGCCUAUAAGCUUGUUGGUGGGGUAAUGGCCUACCAAGGCGUCGACGGGUAGCCGGCCUGAGAGGAUGGACGGCCACAUUGGACCUGUGAUGCAGGCAGGAGUAGUGAAGGAGGCAGCAGUGGCGAAAGUUGGACAAUGGGAGAAAGCCUGAUGCAGGAACGCCGCGUGGGGGAAGAAGGCUUUCGGGUUGUAAGAACAUAUCGCAACCGACGAAGCCUUUUGGUGACGGUAGGUUGAGAAGAAGCACCGGCUAACUACGUG